RNAcentral lists this transfer RNA (73 nucleotides) under Pelturagonia nigrilabris (Blacklipped eyebrow lizard). RNAcentral describes it as "tRNA-Gln". It matches the Rfam family "tRNA". Rfam says of the family: Transfer RNA (tRNA) molecules are approximately 80 nucleotides in length. Lineage: Eukaryota; Metazoa; Chordata; Lepidosauria; Squamata; Agamidae. The record is from RNAcentral.
UAGGAUGUAGUAUAGGGCGGGAAUACGGAGAGUUUUGGACUCUUAGACUGGGGUUCGAUCCCCCUUUUCCUAA